Molecule: ribosomal RNA, 626 nt
Filed under: uncultured Bacteroidales bacterium
Lineage: Bacteria; Pseudomonadati; Bacteroidota; Bacteroidia; Bacteroidales
Description: bacterial SSU rRNA
Rfam family: Bacterial small subunit ribosomal RNA
Source: RNAcentral
GCUUCAAUUGCCGGCGACCGGCGCACGGGUGCGUAACGCGUAUGUAACCUACCUAUAACAGGGGCAUAACACUGAGAAAUUGGUACUAAUUCCCCAUAAUAUUCGGAGAGGCAUCUCUCCGGGUUGAAAACUCCGGUGGUUAUAGAUGGACAUGCGUUGUAUUAGCUAGUUGGUGAGGUAACGGCUCACCAAGGCAACGAUACAUAGGGGGACUGAGAGGUUAACCCCCCACACUGGUACUGAGACACGGACCAGACUCCUACGGGAGGCAGCAGUGAGGAAUAUUGGUCAAUGGACGCAAGUCUGAACCAGCCAUGCCGCGUGCAGGAAGACGGCUCUAUGAGUUGUAAACUGCUUUUGUACGAGGGUAAACUCACCUACGUGUAGGUGACUGAAAGUAUCGUACGAAUAAGGAUCGGCUAACUCCGUGCCAGCAGCCGCGGUAAUACGGAGGAUUCAAGCGUUAUCCGGAUUUAUUGGGUUUAAAGGGUGCGUAGGCGGUUUGAUAAGUUAGAGGUGAAAUCCCGGGGCUUAACUCCGGAACUGCCUCUAAUACUGUUAGACUAGAGAGUAGUUGCGGUAGGCGGAAUGUAUGGUGUAGCGGUGAAAUGCUUAGAGAUCAUACA